GAUCACCAUCCAUUCACGAAGGAUCGUCCGGCACGUACCUGCCGGUGAAGGAGAAACAU
This is a regulatory RNA element of Frigoribacterium sp. Leaf172, 59 nucleotides long. It matches the Rfam family "msiK RNA". Lineage: Bacteria; Bacillati; Actinomycetota; Actinomycetes; Micrococcales; Microbacteriaceae. The record is from Rfam.